CCUCCUGCCUCAGCCUCCUGAGUGCCGGGAUUACAGAUCCCUUGGGUCGGCAUUCAGGGCCUCUCCAGAUGCCCUCACCCACCUGGGUCACAUUGGUCUCCAAGCUCUGUAUCAGCAUCUCCCCAGCCUCUUGUCUCCAGCUCCUCCCUCUGUGGAAAUCUCCUCACCCCUCGAGGAUCCCCAGUCAGAAUCGCUCCCCCGACACACACACAUUUCAUGGUAUGGUGUGUGGGGUGGCUCUCUCCACGCCCGGCUUCCUUUUAGAUUGUCAGUUUUAGGUGUUCCUUGUCAUGAGUUAGCUGGCUGUGGUUCCACCAUCUGUCCCAGCCCCACACCGGGGAGCUGCAAACCAGCCUUUUUCAUCAUCUCCUUCUUCAUCCACA
This is a long non-coding RNA of Heterocephalus glaber (naked mole-rat), 383 nucleotides long. Lineage: Eukaryota; Metazoa; Chordata; Mammalia; Rodentia; Bathyergidae. The record is from Ensembl.